This 875-nucleotide long non-coding RNA is filed under the name Cyanistes caeruleus (blue tit). Its description in RNAcentral is "lncRNA (ENSCCEG00000002574.1)". The record is from RNAcentral. Lineage: Eukaryota; Metazoa; Chordata; Aves; Passeriformes; Paridae.
UGAUGAUGGAUUUCAGGCUACAUUGGGCCCCUCUCUCUGCCCGGCAGUCGCUGGGAGGGGAGGCUCAGCCUGGAGCCAUUGGUUUGUGCCAGGGAGAGGGUUUAGUGUCGGCAAGAUGCCAGCAGCUUGGCCAGGCCCAGCCUGGGGCCGGGGCCCCACAGCCUCCGUCCCCUGCCUGGGAGCUGUUGGGGUCCAGCCCGGCGUCCCCCAGGCCACACAGGCUGUGGGUGAGCAGGGCCGGCCUCACCAGAGCUCUGGUACCUUUCAAAGCUUGGAAGAAAGAGAGAGUUCCCGGGUUUGUGGUUUUUAAGAUGUGGAAUUCACAGAGGUGGAUCUAAUUUCUAAAUGGUGCAAAAUGCUGUCAGUUCUCAGAACUAGCCAGCUGUUGGCCUGUCUCAGGCACAGAGAAAGCUCUCAGCAGCUUUUCUCAGAGAAAUCACUUCCAUGGUUUCUUACUUCUUCCCCAAAUGUCAAUCAGUGUGAAACCACUACAAUAACAGUGAUUAUUUUUCAAUUGUUUAAAUGUCUUUUCAGUUUACGGCAUGGAUGUAAAAAGCCACAGAUGACAAGACAUCAGUGGGAGUGUCAUUUGUUCCACCAGGACAAAAGGAAUACAUUUCUAAUGUGUGCAAGGAAGCAAAAAACAGAGAGCCCAGAGGUGUCUGAAAUGAGGAUGUAUUUGGAUUUAGCCAGAGAAGAAUGGUGGAACUGCCUUCUGCUGAUGGUCUGUGGCAUUGUGUCAAUACUUUGGAUGCCCCAAAAGAGAGAAUAAGUAUCAUGGUACCAGCAAGUUCAAUGGAGUGGAUGCUCUGUCCACAGGAAUCCUCAUGCCCCACCAGCACCCUCAGCUGCCUAGCUGUCAUGCCAGAGUUAAG